Molecule: long non-coding RNA, 531 nt
Organism: Mytilus californianus (California mussel)
Lineage: Eukaryota; Metazoa; Mollusca; Bivalvia; Mytilida; Mytilidae
Exons: 3
Source: RefSeq, a predicted model, not a curated record
ACCAAUUUAUUUAAAUUAGGUAGUACAUCGCUGAGUGAUACGACCCCUCGCUACUACAUAUAGUGAUCUUUAUACGUCCGAAAUACACAAAUCUUGUCACAGGAACAAAAUGAGCUCAUGGAGAAAAUUUUCUUUGUUUUAAUUAUUGUUAUCAUAUUUCAUAAUUCAUAUCAAGCUCCAGUUCGCCUUAUAUGUCCGCCAUGUUCAAUAGUGUGUAACAACGAUAUAAGUAAUCUACGUAAGCAGUGUCAGUCUUGCCAGUGCGAACCUGUCAAACAUAUUCCACACUUAGUCGCUGUUGUUUUAUGUCCAUAUAAGAUAUGCAAAGAGAACUGUGGCUUUAUGGGAUACAAACGAGACAAAAUGGGGUGCAAAUCAUGUGAAUGUAAAGAAAUCUAAUACGACAAAAUGGAUAGGAAAUCGACUAAACUGCAGGAAACUUUGCAAGACAGCAUGCUUUGAGAAUUAUGUGAAAGCCGGGAAAUUUAUUUUGUUUUUAUUUGUUAAGUUAUUGUUAUAUUUUUUUAAUAA